GGGAGUUGUAGUUAUUGCGGCUCAGCUGAGGAUGCCGGGAAGGGCUGGUGGUCGGGGGCCUGGAGCGGUGGUUGCGCUUAGUUGCGGCGGUUGUCAUCAUGUCCCGCAUUUUGGUGCCUUGCCAUGUGAAAGGCACCGUAGCCCUCCAGGUGGGCGACGUGCGGACCUCCCAAGGCCGGCCUGGCGUGCUGGUCAUCGAUGUCACCUUCCCCAGCGUCGCUCCCUUCGAGUUGCAGGAGAUCACAUUUAAGAAUUACUACACAGCUUUUUUGAGCAUCCGUGUCCGUCAGCACACCUCUGCACACACACCUGCCAAGUGGGUGACCUGCCUGCGGGACUACUGUCUAAUGCCCGACCCACACAGUGAGGAGGGAGCCCAGGAGUAUGUAUCGCUGUUCAAGCAUCAGAUGCUGUGUGACAUGGCCAGAGUAUUGGAGCUACGCCUGAUUCUGCGGCAGCCAUCACCACUGUGGCUGUCUUUCACAGUGGAGGAGCUGCAGAUCUAUCAGCAGGGACCAAAGAGCCCCUCCAUGACCUUCCCCAAGUGGCUCUCCCACCCAGUGCCCUGUGAGCAACCUGCACUCCUCUGUGAGGGUCUCCCAGACCCCAGCAGGGUAUCCUCCGAGGUGCAGCAGAUGUGGGCACUGACAGAGAUGAUCCGGGCCAGUCACACCUCCGCGAGGAUCGGCCGUUUUGAUGUGGAUGGCUGUUAUGACCUGAACUUGCUCUCCUACACUUGAAUGGUGGCUCCUACCCAAGAUGUUGGCCUUUCUGUGCCCACCCAGACUUGGUUUGGGCCACCAGAGGCUGAAGUUCAAGCGAUUCUUCUGCCUCAGCCUCCCGAGUAGCUGGGAUUACAGGCAUGUGCCACCACGCCUGGCCUGCCCCUUUCCAAGACAGAUGCUCAGCAUGAUGAGAGAUCAGCCAUGGUAGGGAGUGGGUCCAAGUAAGGGUUUGCAUUGUUGCCUUUUAAGAGGCCUAGGUCCUCCAUUAACUCAGGCUAACCAUUAAGUGAUGCAGGCUGCUCUUCCUUCAUGUGAGAAAAACCUGUUUCCCUCUGGUUCUUCCUGGCUUUGCACCUGGUGGCUAUUAUGAAGCAGUACUGCAGUAUGUCUUGGACCUGGAAAGUUGGACAUGUGUGCGGCUCAACAGUUUCCUGGGAAGAGUUCAGUGACCUUUUGGUGGCCACCCUCUGCUCUCACCUAUGAGUUCUUGCAGGUGGCGACUUUACCUGCAAGGUCACUUACAUAGCCCCACUCAGCUGCUUUGGAAAGCAUGAUGGAGCAGUAGUCCUCAAUGUGUGUGUGAGUGAAGAGAACCUUGUGGUAGCAGGGACCAUGCUUCAUUUGUGGCUGUGUCCCCAUCCGAGGGCCUGGUAUGCAGUAAGAUCAAUACAUACUUGUGGAAUGCAUGA
Molecule: RNA transcript, 1414 nt
Organism: Macaca mulatta (Rhesus monkey)
Lineage: Eukaryota; Metazoa; Chordata; Mammalia; Primates; Cercopithecidae
Gene: NICN1
Gene name: nicolin 1, tubulin polyglutamylase complex subunit
Source: RefSeq, marked provisional